RNAcentral lists this ribosomal RNA (232 nucleotides) under uncultured bacterium. Its description in RNAcentral is "partial 16S ribosomal RNA". It matches the Rfam family "Bacterial small subunit ribosomal RNA", at positions 99 to 334 of the family's 1533-position model. The record is from RNAcentral.
CGGACGGGUGAGUAAUGUCUGGGAAACUGCCUGAUGGAGGGGGAUAACCACUGGAAACGGUAGCUAAUACCGCAUAACGUCGCAAGACCAAAGAGGGGGACCUUAGGGCCUCUUGCCAUCGGAUGUGCCCAGAUGGGAUUAGCUUGUUGGUGGGGUAACGGCUCACCAAGGCGACGAUCCCUAGCUGGUCUGAGAGGAUGACCAGCCACACUGGAACUGAGACACGGUCCAG